CAUCACUACGCUAGAUGCAUAUCAAUAAGCGGAGGAAAAGAAAGUAACUAGGAUUCCCCUAGUAACGGCGAGUGAAGCGGGAAGAGCUCAAAUUUGAAAUCUUAAAGGUUUUCCCUUGACGAAUUGUAGUUUAAAGAAGUGUUUUCUGUUGAAGUUUCGGUAAAAGUUCUUUGGAAUAGGACAUCAUAGAGGGUGAGAAUCCCGUAUUUGACCAUUAUUUCCAGCUUUGUGAUACACUUUCAAAGAGUCGGAUUGUUUGGGAAUGCAGUCCAAAAUGGGUGGUAAAUUUCAUCUAAAGCUAAAUACUGGCGAGAGACCGAUAGCGAACAAGUACCGUGAGGGAAAGAUGAAAAGAACUUUGAAAAGAGAGUUAAACAGUACGUGAAAUUGUCAAAAGGGAAGCGUUUGACACCAGUGUUGUUUAGUUGAAAAUCAAUUCAAUAAUUUUUGAUUUUGAGUAGUAUUGACUUCAUCAGCUUGCUGCUUUCUUUUCGGAAAUUAUUGAAUGCACUUUUCAGUUAACAAGUCAACAUCAAUUUCUUUUGUUGUAAAAGGGUAAGAGGAAGGUGGCUUACGCUUCGGCGUAAGUGUUUAUAGCCUUUUACCUCUGCAAUCGGAGAGAUUGAGGACAGCAGCGUAGACUCUUCGGGGUUAGAUACACUUGUGCUAAGCUAUAGCCUUGUAUAGACAACUUGUUGACUAUGCUCAGUCAUGUAGCUUACUCGCUUGUGCUACUUUACCUACGCUUAGGAUGUUGACGAGACUGUCGAUCUC
RNAcentral lists this ribosomal RNA (774 nucleotides) under uncultured Neocallimastigales. Its description in RNAcentral is "partial large subunit ribosomal RNA". It matches the Rfam family "Eukaryotic large subunit ribosomal RNA", at positions 20 to 646 of the family's 3401-position model. The record is from RNAcentral. Lineage: Eukaryota; Fungi; Neocallimastigomycota; Neocallimastigomycetes; Neocallimastigales.